This 696-nucleotide long non-coding RNA is filed under the name Homo sapiens (human). RNAcentral's name for it is "non-protein coding lnc-OVOL2-1:5". Lineage: Eukaryota; Metazoa; Chordata; Mammalia; Primates; Hominidae. The record is from RNAcentral.
GUUGCUUCCCGUCCGUGUCGCGGCCCUGCGGUUGGCGGCCUCCUCGUGGAGCGGAGCAAGGGUAGGCCCCACGUGGCGUCUUUGCCCGGCUCCAAGAUGGACGGCAGCGGGGACUGGGAGGCUGCUCUGGGGGAGCACGUGGCGCCCUGCUCGCCUGCUCCCGGGGCAGCUGGGAUGGUGGCGGAGUCCGGAGGCCUCCUGCCGCCGUCGGGCAGGGAGGCCGGCGGAGGCGGGGCCGUGGCCGCCCCCGAGAGGCGCCCAGGCGGCGGCGGCGGCGGCCCAGCUUCUUCUUUCCUCGCACAGCCAGGCGGCCCCUGCUCGAGUCCCGCGUCGCCAUGGCCGCGGUUCCCGAGUUGCUGCAGCAGCAGGAGGAGGACCGCAGCAAGCUGAGAUCUGUAUCUGUGGACCUGAAUGUUGAUCCCUCGCUUCAGAUUGACAUACCUGAUGCGCUCAGUGAGAGAGACAAAGUCAAAUUUACAGUGCACACAAAGACCACACUGCCCACGUUUCAGAGCCCAGAGUUUUCUGUUACAAGGCAACAUGAAGACUUUGUGUGGCUACAUGACACUCUUAUUGAAACAACAGACUAUGCUGGGCUUAUUGAGUGGAGUGGUUGUCUCCUGUGGACCAGCAAGAGUAGAAUGAGGCACCAACUAGAAAACAUCGCUGCUGGGACAAGAGGCUCAUGAGUUCCUG